Molecule: ribosomal RNA, 158 nt
Filed under: Tuckermannopsis chlorophylla
Lineage: Eukaryota; Fungi; Ascomycota; Lecanoromycetes; Lecanorales; Parmeliaceae
Description: 5.8S ribosomal RNA
Rfam family: 5.8S ribosomal RNA
About the family: 5.8S ribosomal RNA (5.8S rRNA) is a component of the large subunit of the eukaryotic ribosome.
Source: RNAcentral
AAAACUUUCAACAACGGAUCUCUUGGUUCCAGCAUCGAUGAAGAACGCAGCGAAAUGCGAUAACUAAUGUGAAUUGCAGAAUUCAGUGAAUCAUCGAGUCUUUGAACGCACAUUGCGCCCCUCGGUAUUCCGGGGGCAUGCCUGUUCGAGCGUCAUUG